Molecule: unclassified non-coding RNA, 271 nt
Filed under: Hevea brasiliensis (rubber tree)
Lineage: Eukaryota; Viridiplantae; Streptophyta; Magnoliopsida; Malpighiales; Euphorbiaceae
Source: RNAcentral
GGUAUUGGCAUUGACUUUUCUAGGAAAGAAGGUAGGUCACCAGCUUCAAUUGGAGCAUAUGGGUACGCCAUCCUUACUUCAGCUGCUGGGGGUAAUAGCAUGGGCUUGAAUGCGGCAGCUGCAUUUCCCUCACUAGGGAUCGGAACUGCUGAACUCACUAUACUCUUCUCCUCUGGGCCAGGAAGGGCAAGUCUUGCACUUGCGUAAGCACUAGCAAAGUGUCUGCAUUCAGCUCUCAGUGGGCAUGCAUUACAGUUAGGCUUACUUUUGG